GUGCGAGACCGAUAGCGAACAAGUACCGUGAGGGAAAGAUGAAAAGAACUUUGAAAAGAGAGUUAAAGAGUACCUGAAACUGUUGAAAGGGAAUCGUAUCGUUUCCAGUGUCUUAUCCUUUGCAUAUUUCAUUGGCGGAUGCAGGUGUGUGGUUUGCUUGUACUAGCAGUUCAUUCUGCAGUCUGCGUUCUACGCUGCUUGUAUUUGCUGGUGCCCUGUGCGUUGGUGUGACGUCAGAGUCAGUUUGUACGUUGCGGGAGAUGGUUGUCGAGGAGGUAUUUCAGACACAUUUGUGUUUGGAUGUUAUAUCUCGGCAUACUAGUAGUCGUGGCGGAGACUGAGGUGCCUAC
This 350-nucleotide ribosomal RNA is filed under the name uncultured Oomycota. Its description in RNAcentral is "uncultured Oomycetes partial 28S ribosomal RNA". It matches the Rfam family "Eukaryotic large subunit ribosomal RNA", at positions 326 to 612 of the family's 3401-position model. Lineage: Eukaryota; Oomycota. The record is from RNAcentral.